GGCGGACGGGUGAGUAACGCGUGGGUAACCGUGCCUCAUACAGGGGGAUAACAGUUGGAAACGGCUGCUAAUACCGCAUAAGCGCACAGUACCGCAUGGUACGGUGUGAAAAACUCCGGUGGUAUGAGAUGGACCCGCGUCUGAUUAGGUAGUUGGUGGGGUAACGGCCUACCAAGCCGACGAUCAGUAGCCGACCUGAGAGGGUGACCGGCCACAUUGGGACUGAGACACGGCCCAA
This 238-nucleotide ribosomal RNA is filed under the name uncultured bacterium. Its description in RNAcentral is "partial 16S ribosomal RNA". It matches the Rfam family "Bacterial small subunit ribosomal RNA", at positions 97 to 334 of the family's 1533-position model. The record is from RNAcentral.